RNAcentral lists this ribosomal RNA (426 nucleotides) under Pseudomonas sp. OS4. Its description in RNAcentral is "bacterial SSU rRNA". It matches the Rfam family "Bacterial small subunit ribosomal RNA", at positions 1048 to 1471 of the family's 1533-position model. Lineage: Bacteria; Pseudomonadati; Pseudomonadota; Gammaproteobacteria; Pseudomonadales; Pseudomonadaceae. The record is from RNAcentral.
GCUGUCGUCAGACUCGUGUGCGUGAGAUGAUGGGUUAAGUCCCGAAAACGAGCGCAACCCUUGUCCUUAGUUACCAGCACGUUAUGGUGGGCACUCUAAGGAGACUGCCGGUGACAAACCGGAGGAAGGUGGGGAUGACGUCAAGUCAUCAUGGCCCUUACGGCCUGGGCUACACACGUGCUACAAUGGUCGGUACAGAGGGUUGCCAAGCCGCGAGGUGGAGCUAAUCUCACAAAACCGAUCGUAGUCCGGAUCGCAGUCUGCAACUCGACUGCGUGAAGUCGGAAUCGCUAGUAAUCGCGAAUCAGAAUGUCGCGGUGAAUACGUUCCCGGGCCUUGUACACACCGCCCGUCACACCAUGGGAGUGGGUUGCACCAGAAGUAGCUAGUCUAACCUUCGGGAGGACGUAACCACGGUGGAUAAAA